AUUGAACGCUGGCGGCAGGCCUAACACAUCCAAGUCGAGCGCCCCGCAAGGGGAGCGGCAGACGGGAGAGUAACGCGUGGGAACGUGCCCUUUGGUUCGGAACAACCCAGGGAAACUUGGGCUAAUACCGGAUAAGCCCUCACGGGGAAAGAUUUAUCGCCGAAGGAUCGGCCCGCGUCUGAUUAGCUAGUUGGUGGGGUAAUGGCCCACCAAGGCGACGAUCAGUAGCUGGUCUGAGAGGAUGAUCAGCCUCACUGGGACUGAGACACGGCCCAGACUCCUACGGGAGGCAGCAGUGGGGAAUAUUGGACAAUGGGCGCAAGCCUGAUCCAGCCAUGCCGCGUGGGUGAUGAAGGCCCUAGGGUUGUAAAGCCCUUUCGGCGGGGAAGAUAAUGACGGUACCCGCAGAAGAAGCCCCGGCUAACUUCGUGCCAGCCGCCGCGGUAA
This 447-nucleotide ribosomal RNA is filed under the name uncultured bacterium. Its description in RNAcentral is "partial 16S ribosomal RNA". It matches the Rfam family "Bacterial small subunit ribosomal RNA", at positions 29 to 523 of the family's 1533-position model. The record is from RNAcentral.